GGACUACACGGGUAUCUAAUCCUCAUCGUUACCCAAGGCUUCGUCCCUCAACGUCAGUUUUUAUAUAGAAGAUUGCCUUCGCUGUUACCCGUCCUUCCAGUAUUAUAAAAUAUCAACUCUUCUCCGGAAAUUCGCCUCUUCUCACAUAAAACUCUAGAAAAUUAGUUCUUAUUAUAGCUUGAUUUUCAGUCUAGGUACCCUUUAAACCUAAUAAAGAUGAAUAACACUAGUCUUUUACGUAUUACCGCGGCUGCUGGCAC
Molecule: ribosomal RNA, 260 nt
Filed under: uncultured bacterium
Lineage: Bacteria
Description: partial 16S ribosomal RNA
Source: RNAcentral